AGGCCGCGGGCGGAGCCCGGUCGCCCCGGAGCUGGCCGUCCAGUUCCGGUCGGGCCGCGGCCCGGAGGCGAGGGGCUGUCUGCACACUGGCCGCGAGACAGCCCUAGAGAAACACGGGAUUGUCACUGUCGAUUCUAAAGCACGGGACUGCGAAAUCGGAGAGCUCCGCUUCCAAAGACGACGGCAAACUCACAGGGAGGGAGGACAGAAGGGGACGUUUUCAUCUCUGUCUUCCAUUGCUGUGAAUGUGGGUAAGGAUGAGAGGGUAACCGCUCAUGGCGGUGGAGAGUGCAGAAGUGUCUGGUCUGAGCCGAGCCCCUGCCUUGGUGGAUGGAAAAGGGGUCCCCUACUAAACCUCACAAGCUCAGGAGAGGCCAGCAUGGCGGUCCCUACAGACCAGAGACAAAGGAUGAAGGGAUGGGAGUACACAAGAGACAAGUCUCAGGACAGCCUCACAUCGCAGCUGUGGGCUGAGCUUAACGGGCAGACGGAGGGACACCAUGCGGUGCAUCAUCUUGCGAAUGCACAGCGUUCCGUGAAAAUGGAGGGGACCUGGCUGGUGGGGCCUCGCGUGCUGCGUGGCGGUGAUGAUGGGGUGCCUUUCUAAUGGCAGAAACUGCUAAACUAGUACAAGUGCAGUCGAGUUCAUUAUUAAGGUACUGCAAGCAAGUUUGCUUCCACCUCUCAUGUCAUGUCUCUCUUUAUCAAGAUGCCAUUAACCGCAUGCACCAGAAUUCAGGCCCAUCUGUGGCUUAAAUCUUCAAGGUAUUUAAUUAUCUCACAUAACAUGAAGUCCAGAUUACGCGGCCCACAACUGUUUCUCCUACUCGGUGAUGUCAAAGGACAUCAGCAUCUUAGCAAUUCUCUUAGCUUUUCCCUCCUGGUCUCAGGGCAACUGCAGCUUCUCCAGGCACCCGGUCCUGACCUCAUGGCCCUGUCGUGGGCCUGGGAGAGCCUUUGCACCUGGACAUCGUCUCCUUUGUGCUCUGCUGCCCUGACAAGGCUCAGGCCUGACGCACCAGCGUGCGUGGGGCUCUUUACACUGCCAUGGAGGCCUUCUGACGGGCAGGUGUCCACUUCAUGGAGGAGGUGGUGGGAUGCUGGGUCCGAGUGUGCCUGGUCCUAAGGUGAUCAUUGCCAAAACUGGCUGGUGAGCCCCUGGGGUUCAUUUGGUGCUCUCCUUUGGUGUGUUUGAGAUUUAUCAUUAAAAACAAAGACGCUAAAAUCCUUUCGCUGUUCUCAGUAUGUUGCACCCUCCCACUCACAGGAAACGUGUCAGACAUUGCCACCAUCUACCAAGUCUCUCAGCUGGGCUCCCAUAACAAGCCCCACAGAUGGGGUGGCCUGAACGGCGCCAGAUUUAUUUUCUCAUGGUUCUGGAGGCAGGAGUCCAAGAUCAAGGCCCCAGAAAGGUUGAUGUUUGGUGGAAGCUCUCCCUUUGGGUUGCAGAUGGCUGUGUCCUCACCUGGCCUUUUCACUGCACAGGUGUGGAAAGGCAGAAAUCUCUAGCAUCUCUUCCCUUUGAUUACCUCUCAUCACACUGGGGGUUAGGGAUUCAACCUGUGAAUUUUGGGGGGACAUUCAAUCCAUAGCACUCAACUACUUCCAGAACAAUAGAGUGUGCUGGGCACAUCACUGCCCAUUUGGAAUCCAUUUCCCAGCCCUCCUUGCAGUUUGACGUGGCCAGGUGACUUACCACCAAAGGAAUGUGAGCAGAAGUGGCAGGUGCUCCUUCAGACAGCAGACUGCACUGUUUUGUCUCAGCCUUGUCCAUGAAGACAAUGGUGAGCCCCUUUGGGAGCAGACAGCAUGCUGGAAGGAAUCUGUGUCCCUGAGUGAGCCCACGAGCAGGGAUGCCGCCCUUGGACUGUUACAUAUGUAAAAAAGCAAAAUUCUAUCUUUUCUAAACCACUGGAUUUGUUUGGGUUUCUGUUAAAGUAGCUUAGUCUUUUCCUAAAGCACUGUUUCUCAACUGAGGGACAUUUUGAUUGUCACAAUUGGGUGGGGAUGCUCAUAGCAUCGGGUAGGCAGCGGCCAGGGAUGCUGCUAGACAGCUUACAAGGCACAGGACAGACCCCCACAGCAAAGAGUAUCAAGCACAGAAUGUCAGCAGCAGUGAGGUCGAGAAAUCCUGUUGUAGAGCAUGUAGCUAUGACGAGACAGUAAGGGAGCCGCCUCUCAUUCAGGUAGCUUCUAAAACAGCGUCUCUGUAAGAGAAUUUGUCAGUUUUCUUAUGUGAGUGAAAGAUAAACAUGGGAGAAGUUAUUUUCAAUAUGACACACAAAGGGCAUGAUAUAUGAUUAUUCUCUAUAAGAAUUAUUUCUCUGUGGAUAAUGUAUAAAGGACAUAAAACGAUAGAACUACAAAUAGCCAACAAUAUGUUUAAACAUUGAACCUCACUUAAAUACAAGUUAAAACACUGAGAUUGGUUUUUGGGUUAUUUUUUCUCAUCAUGUUAGCAAUGAUCAAAAAGCCUGAUGAAAUCUAGGGUUAAAAGUGUAGAAACAUCCUUAGUGGAGCGUCAACUCAUUCAAAAGUAUCAGCAUUUAGAACACACACUGCUCUUCAAGCUAGCGAUGUCAUUUCUAAGACUAUUUCCUGAAGAACCACAACGUGGUAGGUUAAAGAUGGCUGUAAUUCUUGCCACUCCUCCCACAGAGAGAUGGGGUCUCUUUUCCCCUCCCCUCGAAUCAGUUAGCCCAAAAGUCUUGCUUGACUAAUAGAAUGUAGUGAGGUGAUGUCUUGAGAUAACCAAGAUGAAGUCACAAGGGUCUUGUAGCUUCCACCUAGGCCUCCCGAACAAUCUGGAAGCCCACAUCAGAAGUACUACCACCUGGGACUGCUGGGCUGGAGGCUACAGGUAGGCACUCUGACCCAAUAUACCCGCUGAAUGCAGCCUUCCAGCCACCGCAGUCAUCUCUAUGGUACCACAAAGAACAGAAGAGUCACCCAGCUGAGCCCUGCUGGAAUGCCUGACUCAUAAAAUUGCGAACUAUGAUAAAAUGGUUCUUUUAAAACACUGCGUUUUCAGGUCACUUAUAAUGCAGCAGUAUGCAACUGGGACACAUACCUACAGCUAUGUGAACCAGUGUUCACCAGAGCACUGUUCAUAAUAACACUGUGUGUCUGUAAGGAGUUGGUUAAAGUGUGGUACACCAGCAUAAUGAAUUUUAUCUAGUAAACGGGAUGAAGUAGAACUGAGCAAAACGUGGUGAGAAUUCAUAAAGCAUAUCAGGUGAAAGAUGUACAGAGUGGAAAUGUGAAUAGUGUGUGACUCACCAAUGUGAAAAAAAACCCAGCUCGACUGAAAAAUGGGUGAAAGAUCUGAAGGGACAGCUCAGCCAGGAAGACAUACACAUAUGCAUGUGAAAGGCGCUCAAUAUCCUGUCCUUAGGGAAGAGGAAAGAAAAUGAGACACCUCUACACACCUGUUGGACUGGCCACAGUCCAGAACGCUGACGGCACCAAACGCUGGCGAGGACGUGGAGCAGCAGUAACUCUCGCCCACUGCCGGUGGGGAUGGGCGAUGAUGCAGCCAUGCUGGAAGAUGGUGUGCCAUUUCUCACAGAACUGAAUGUAAUUGUACAGUACGACCCAGCAAUCACACUCCCUGGUAUUUAUCCACAGGGAUCGAAUACUAUGUUCAAAUAAAAACCUGUACACAAACGAAUAUAGCAGCUUUAUUCGCAAUUGACAAAACUUGGAAACAACCAAGAUGUCCUUCAGUAGGUGAAUAGAUAUACUGUGGUAUUACCAAUGAAAUAAUCAGCAUUGGAAGAAAGGAGCUAUCAAGCCAGGAAAAGACAAGGAGGAACCUAAAUGUAAAUUACUAAGUGAAAGGAGUCACUCUGAAAAGGAUACAUACUGUAUGUUUCCAACUAUAUGACAUCACAGAAAAGGCAAAACUAUAUAUACAGUAAAAAGAUGAGUGUUUGCCAAGAUUCAUAAGGGACACGGAGAGGGAUCAAUAGAUGGAGCACAGGGAAUUUUUAGGGCAGAGAAACUAUCCUGUGUGACACUGUAAUGGUGGGUACUUAGUAUGAUUGUACAGCAGAGAACCCUAAUGUAAUCUUUGGACUUGAGUUAACAACAAUGUAUCAAUAUUGUUUCAUCAAUAUUGUAAUAAAUAUACCACAGAAACAUAAAAUGUU
Molecule: long non-coding RNA, 4151 nt
Organism: Pteropus alecto (black flying fox)
Lineage: Eukaryota; Metazoa; Chordata; Mammalia; Chiroptera; Pteropodidae
Exons: 2
Source: RefSeq, a predicted model, not a curated record